RNAcentral lists this ribosomal RNA (301 nucleotides) under uncultured bacterium. Its description in RNAcentral is "partial 16S ribosomal RNA". It matches the Rfam family "Bacterial small subunit ribosomal RNA", at positions 509 to 807 of the family's 1533-position model. The record is from RNAcentral.
CAGUAGCCGCGGGAAUACGAAGGGUGCAAGCGUUACUCGGAAUUACUGGGCGUAAAGCGUGCGUAGGUGGUGGUUUAAGUCCGUUGUGAAAGCCCUGGGCUCAACCUGGGAAUUGCAGCGGAUACUGGGUCACUAGAGUGUGGUAGAGGAUAGUGGAAUUUCCGGUGUAGCAGUGAAAUGCGUAGAGAUCGGAAGGAACAUCUGUGGCGAAGGCGACUAUCUGGGCCAACACUGACACUGAGGCACGAAAGCGUGGGGAGCAAACAGGAUUAGAUACCCGCGUAGUCCCUGUCUCUUAUAC